AACGAACGCUGGCGGCAUGCCUAACACAUGCAAGUCGAACGAGACCUUCGGGUCUAGUUGCGCACGGGUGCGUAACGCGUGGGAACCUGCCCUUAGGUUCGGGAUAACUCCCCGAAAGGGGUGCUAAUACCGGAUAAUGUCUGCUGACCAAAGAUUUAUCGCCUUUGGAUGGGCCCGCGUUGGUUUAGCUAGUUGGUAGGGUAAAAGCCUACCAAGGCGACGAUCCAUAGCUGGUCUGAGAGGAUGAUCAGCCACACUGGGACUGAGACACGGCCCAGACUACUACGGGAGGCAGCAGUGGGGAAUAUUGGAAAAUGGGCGAAAGCCUGAUCCAGCAAUGCCGCGUGAGUGAUGAAGGCCUUAGGGUUGUAAAGCUCUUUUACCCGGGAUGAUAAUGACAGUACCGGGAGAAUAAGCUCCGGCUAACUCCGUG
This 433-nucleotide ribosomal RNA is filed under the name uncultured bacterium. RNAcentral describes it as "partial 16S ribosomal RNA". It matches the Rfam family "Bacterial small subunit ribosomal RNA", at positions 29 to 507 of the family's 1533-position model. The record is from RNAcentral.